GAUGAAGAACGCAGCGAAAUGCGAUAAGUAAUGUGAAUUGCAGAAUUCAGUGAAUCAUCGAAUCUUUGAACGCACAUUGCGCCCCCUGGUAUUCCGGGGGGCAUGCCUGUCAGAGCGUCAUUACAACCCUCAAGCUCAGCUUGGUGUUGGGCCCCGCCGCCCCGGCGGGCCCUAAAGUCAGUGGCGGUGCCGUCCGGCUCCGAGCGUAGUAAUUCUUCUCGCUCUGGAGGUCCGGUCGUGUGCUCGCCAGCAACCCCCAAUUUUUUUCAGGUUGACCUCGGAUCAGGUAGGGAUACCCGCUGAACUUAAGCAUAUCAAUAAGCGGAGGA
Molecule: unclassified non-coding RNA, 329 nt
Filed under: soil metagenome
Description: partial contains 5.8S ribosomal RNA, internal transcribed spacer 2, and large subunit ribosomal RNA
Rfam family: 5.8S ribosomal RNA (bases 1-120)
Source: RNAcentral